GUGGGGAAUUUUGGACAAUGGGCGCAAGCCUGAUCCAGCAAUGCCGCGUGCAGGAAGAAGGCCUUCGGGUUGUAAACUGCUUUUGUACGGAACGAAACGGUCCGGGUUAAUACCCUGGGCUAAUGACGGUACCGUAAGAAUAAGCACCGGCUAACUACGUGCCAGCAGCCGCGGUAAUACGUAGGGUGCAAGCGUUAAUCGGAAUUACUGGGCGUAAAGCGUGCGCAGGCGGUUUUGUAAGACAGGCGUGAAAUCCCCGGGCUCAACCUGGGAAUUGCGCUUGUGACUGCAAGGCUGGAGUGCGGCAGAGGGGGAUGGAAUUCCGCGUGUAGCAGUGAAAUGCGUAGAUAUGCGGAGGAACACCGAUGGCGAAGGCAAUCCCCUGGGCCUGCACUGACGCUCAUGCACGAAAGCGUGGGGAGCAAACAGGAUUAGAUACCCGUGUAGUCC
Molecule: ribosomal RNA, 450 nt
Filed under: uncultured bacterium
Lineage: Bacteria
Description: bacterial SSU rRNA
Rfam family: Bacterial small subunit ribosomal RNA
Source: RNAcentral